GGAGACGGCACCCAGGCAGAACGCUCCAGCCUGUCACACCGUAGAUGAACCCCACAAAGCCCGCUGACACAGAUAAAACUACAGUGUGGUGAUGUCUACAACGCCGAGAGGCCCCGGAUGUCUACAACGCCGAGAGGCCCCGGAUGUCUACAACGCCGAGAGGCCCCGGAUGUCUACAACGCCGAGAGGCCCCGGAUGUCUACAACGCCGAGAGGCCCCGGAUGUCUACAACGCCGAGAGGCCCCGGAUCCUGGGAGCUGCCCAGCACAGCACGCAACCAGCGCCCCUCCUUGUGACUGGGUCUGGGGGCAGCUGGAGUGCUGAAGCUCCGAAAAGAAACCUUAGAAGAAUCAUCCCAAGGGACCAGGCCUGAGAGAAGUCAAAGAAAGAGUGAAUCUAGGAGGCGUUGGAGAACGGACAAGGCUUACGGUAUUUCAGAACUUCGACUGACGGUGCUGUUCACCGGUCCAGCGGUUGCCGACCUGGGUUCGGGGUUGGGGAACGUACUUUGGGACUUCAAAUCCAAAGGGCAAAAUAUCAAAAAACAAACAAACAAAAAAC
Long non-coding RNA from Microtus oregoni (creeping vole), 561 nucleotides. RefSeq lists it as uncharacterized. The transcript has 3 exons. Lineage: Eukaryota; Metazoa; Chordata; Mammalia; Rodentia; Cricetidae. The record is from RefSeq and is a predicted model, not a curated record.